This 468-nucleotide ribosomal RNA is filed under the name uncultured bacterium. Its description in RNAcentral is "partial 16S ribosomal RNA". It matches the Rfam family "Bacterial small subunit ribosomal RNA", at positions 28 to 507 of the family's 1533-position model. The record is from RNAcentral.
GACGAACGCUGGCGGCGUGCUUAACACAUGCAAGUCGAACGGAAAGGCCCUGCUUUUGUGGGGUGCUCGAGUGGCGAACGGGUGAGUAACACGUGAGUAACCUGCCCUUGACUUUGGGAUAACUUCAGGAAACUGGGGCUAAUACCGGAUAGGAGCUCCUGCUGCAUGGUGGGGGUUGGAAAGUUUCGGCGGUUGGGGAUGGACUCGCGGCUUAUCAGCUUGUUGGUGGGGUAGUGGCUUACCAAGGCUUUGACGGGUAGCCGGACUGAGAGGGUGACCGGCCACAAUGGGACUGAGGUACGGCCCAGACUCCUACGGGAGGCAGCAGUGGGGGAUAUUGCACAAUGGGCGGAAUCCUGAUGCAGCAACGCCGCGUGCGGGAUGACGGCCUUCGGGUUGUAAACCGCUUUCGCCUGUGACGAAGCGUGAGUGACGGUAAUGGGUAAAGAAGCACCGGCUAACUACGUG